CCGAAUAAACAGCUAUUGCGAGUUCAGUGGGUGACAGCACAGGGGCCUUCACUUCCUCUUCUAGCCCAGGAAAAUUGUGAUCAGGCUGCAGGCCACCUGCCCGUUUCUCUGCAGCAGGAAGUGGAUUGAGCGUCUAUGAGGGCCAGACUCCCGCAUUUAUCAUCCAGUUAGGCCUAAUCAAAAUGUUUUCCGUUUCACCUGCCUAGAUGCAGUUCCCUCCCUCAAGUUUUCCAAAUUGACACUACUGCACUUUUUCAUGUGGCCCAGAGGAUCCUCCUUUCUGCCCUGGAUGAAGAGGACAACGUUUCUUAGUUCCACUGACGUGAGUGACUGACCACUUUGGCACCCAUGGAGUCACCAUCUCAAAUACACUUUGAAAAUGCUCAGGAGAAAGUCGGAAUCUUGGUAUUAUGGGUACAAACAGCAUAACCCAG
This 434-nucleotide long non-coding RNA is filed under the name Equus caballus (horse). Its description in RNAcentral is "lncRNA (ENSECAG00000036617.3)". The record is from RNAcentral. Lineage: Eukaryota; Metazoa; Chordata; Mammalia; Perissodactyla; Equidae.